Molecule: long non-coding RNA, 1162 nt
Filed under: Panax ginseng (ginseng)
Lineage: Eukaryota; Viridiplantae; Streptophyta; Magnoliopsida; Apiales; Araliaceae
Description: long non-coding RNA (PGIN_LNC016203)
Source: RNAcentral
UCGAUUUUGGGGAAAUAGUGUGUAAAGUUUAAUGUAUAAACAAUUUAUGUUUAUAUCUUCCGCAAACAGUUAUAGAAUAAGCGAACCGGAUCCGCGGCGAUUCGGGGGCGCUAUAGUUGGUAUCAAAGCUGUUGGUUAUAAACCUAGGGUAGAGUUAUCUUAGACUAAUAAUCGCAGUGAUAGGAUAAGAUCUAACUCACAUAGAGUUAGUUGGUCAGUAAGAUUCAAAGAAGAAUCUCAGCAGGUUAUAAAAGAUACGGAGUUCCCUAACUCUGAUAAAGAAGUUAAGAAUCAAAAAGUUAUAUUUAAGUAUGGUACAAUUGUACUCUUUAAUAGUUGAUGUAUGGUAUCUGGGCUAAACGAUUCCUUCAUAGAGCAGAGGUAUAUACGAACUAGCAACUCGGAGCCUAGUUUGUUGGUUGUUUGUGGGAAACCACUCAGCGUACCAUAUUGAAACUGUUAGAGACUCGAUGUGUACCAAGUAUAGAAAGUGGAUAGAUCGAGUCUAAAAGACUGAAAGUGCAGGGAUAUGAGAUCGUAAAAUAAAACGAUCAAGUCAUAGAAUUGAAUCGUAAUAUAUACGAUGAGAUCAUCCUCUGAUCUGUUAAGGUUAUGACAGCCAGAAAGAAUCAAUCGGAUGAUUGAAUCAAUCGACGAGAUCUAUAACUUUCAUUCUUUGAGAUUUUAGAAAUAAGGAACAGAUGAAGGUCGAAAUUGGGCUGGAAGUGACUCCUGUGCAAAUGGCCAUCCAAAAUAGUGACGUUCGAUGUCCGUUGGUACAAAUGUCAUAACUCUUGCAUCCGAACUCCCAUUGGAAUGAUUCAAGAUGUUCUGGAAAGUUAAGAAGAAGCUCUAAAAUAUAAUCCAAGUUCCAAACCAAGAACAUGAAAUAAACAUAAAAGCCAAAACGAUGUCCGGAUUGCUUUUCUUUGCAUUUUCAUACCAUUUCUUUGCGAUUUCAACUCCCAAGAAUAUAAUCUACAAAAGGAACAUGAAACGCAUGAAAAGUAACUAAGAAACAUGAGAUUAAGCAAAUAAUUCAAGUAAUAGAUACCAGUUAAGUAGGUAUAAAACCUACGUAUCAGCUAUAUACAUUUGAAAUGAGAUCCUUAUUCUCACUAGCAUGUCUUUAAUUAGAUAUCGCAUAACUAUAUAAAUUGAG